RNAcentral lists this ribosomal RNA (253 nucleotides) under uncultured bacterium. RNAcentral's name for it is "partial 16S ribosomal RNA". It matches the Rfam family "Bacterial small subunit ribosomal RNA", at positions 524 to 776 of the family's 1533-position model. The record is from RNAcentral.
GACGAACCGAGCGAACGUUAUUCGGAAUCACUGGGCUUAAAGGGCGCGUAGGCGGGCGGCCAAGUCAGGGGUGAAAGCCCCCAGCUCAACUGGGGAAGUGCCUUUGAUACUGGUCAUCUCGAGGGAGAUAGGGGCGUGCGGAACUUCCGGUGGAGCGGUGAAAUGCGUAGAUAUCGGAAGGAACACCGGUGGCGAAAGCGGCGCGCUGGAUCUCUUCUGACGCUGAGGCGCGAAAGCCAGGGGAGCGAACGGG